Molecule: unclassified non-coding RNA, 102 nt
Organism: Prolemur simus (greater bamboo lemur)
Lineage: Eukaryota; Metazoa; Chordata; Mammalia; Primates; Lemuridae
Rfam family: Y RNA
About the family: Y RNAs are components of the Ro ribonucleoprotein particle (Ro RNP), in association with Ro60 and La proteins.
Source: Ensembl
GGCUGGUCCGAGUGCAGCGGUGUUUAUAACUAAUUGAUCACAGCCAGUUCCAGGUUCCUUUGUUCCUUCUCCAUUCCCACUGCUUCACUUGAUCAGCCUUAA